UACGAAGGGUGCAAGCGGUACUCGGAAUUACUGGGCGUAAAGCGUGCGUAGGUGGUUCGUUAAGUCUGAUGUGAAAGCCCUGGGCUCAACCUGGGAAUUGCAUUGGAUACUGGCGGACUAGAGUGCGGUAGAGGAUGGCGGAAUUCCCGGUGUAGCAGUGAAAUGCGUAGAGAUCGGGAGGAACAUCUGUGGCGAAGGCGGCCAUCUGGACCAGCACUGACACUGAGUCACGAAAGCGUGGGGAGCAAACAGG
RNAcentral lists this ribosomal RNA (253 nucleotides) under uncultured bacterium. Its description in RNAcentral is "partial 16S ribosomal RNA". It matches the Rfam family "Bacterial small subunit ribosomal RNA", at positions 524 to 776 of the family's 1533-position model. The record is from RNAcentral.